Molecule: transfer RNA, 69 nt
Filed under: Marmota monax (woodchuck)
Lineage: Eukaryota; Metazoa; Chordata; Mammalia; Rodentia; Sciuridae
Rfam family: tRNA
About the family: Transfer RNA (tRNA) molecules are approximately 80 nucleotides in length. Their secondary structure includes four short double-helical elements and three loops (D, anti-codon, and T loops). Further hydrogen bonds mediate the characteristic L-shaped molecular structure. tRNAs have two regions of fundamental functional importance: the anti-codon, which is responsible for specific mRNA codon recognition, and the 3' end, to which the tRNAs corresponding amino acid is attached (by aminoacyl-tRNA synthetases). tRNAs cope with the degeneracy of the genetic code in two manners: having more than one tRNA (with a specific anti-codon) for a particular amino acid; and 'wobble' base-pairing, i.e. permitting non-standard base-pairing at the 3rd anti-codon position.
Source: Rfam by way of RNAcentral
GGUGUUGUGGCUCAGUGGUGGAGUGCUUGCCUGGUAUGUGUGAGGCACAGGGUUUGAUCCUCAGCACCA